Long non-coding RNA from Patella vulgata (common limpet), 1037 nucleotides. RefSeq lists it as uncharacterized. The record is from RefSeq and is a predicted model, not a curated record. Lineage: Eukaryota; Metazoa; Mollusca; Gastropoda; Patellidae. The transcript is spliced from 4 exons.
GAAGGUGGCAACUCGGAGCAAAUAAUUCCUCUCCUUGCCAUUAUAACUUGUUUCCUGGGAUUCGCCUACACGUCUUCGACUGUUUAUUUCGCUUUAACGAAGCACUUUGAGGAUUUCUGUAAAAUUCUAGAUGUUCAUCAAGAGAGAUUUGGAAUCUUGAAGAAAACAUCUUAUAUUCAAAGAAAUGACAGACUAAUACCAUACUUGGCAAUAAGUACUGCAUUAUUUGCGUCCGUUUUCUUAACAUCUUUAGUCUUAUAUUGGAAAGACGAUAUGAGCAAAGUAGCGUAUCCCUUCGAUUUUUCAAACUUUCAGAACAUGGCGUAUGCUGCCAUUAUGACAGCUCUGAACGAAUUCGUUAUCGUGAAUCAUACUUAUUUAUUGGAAGUACUGUUCUAUGAAUGUUCAGUUUUAUUCAUUUCCGAGUUUGUUGAACAGACAAAAAAUGUUCAAUGUUGCAUUACAAAUUAUGCUAAAACUGAAGUGAAAAAUUACAUGAAAUUUGAAUCUUCGAUUGAAACUCUGCGACAACAGUAUAUGAGUUUAAUUGAAUGUUUCGAACAUUCAAAUAAAAUUUUGUGUCAUUAUUUAUUUGGAUGCUAUGCUGUGGUUAUUCCUGGAUUUUGUUUUAUGUUAUAUGGAUUCACAAGAGAUGUGUUAACAACUGGUGAAACAAUGUAUAUUGCUUCUCUUUCUGUUGCUAACCUGGCUGUAAUUAUAAUGUUCACUGGUAUGGGGGCAAUAUUGAGCAUUAAGGCUCAUGAACCUUUAGAUGCUUUGAUGAAGAUAGAUCUAUUGUCUGUAACGGAUAAAACUGUCCAUUCCGUAAAUUUGUUUGUGUCUAGAUUAACCGGACCAACAAUAGGAUAUCGUGUGUAUGAAUUGUUUACCUUGGAUGCAAAUACUAUAUUGGCAGUUAUUGGAAUUUUGUUAACCUAUACUGUGGUUAUGUUACAAUUUUCUGGAUCUACAAAUAUCAACAACUGUUCAUUAAAUAUAACGGUUAAUUAACAUGCCUGUAAUUGUUUACAAAUACA